UGGGGAAUCUUGCGCAAUGGGGGAAACCCUGACGCAGCGACGCCGCGUGCGGGAUGAAGGCCUUCGGGUUGUAAACCGCUUUCAGCAGGGACGAGGCCUUAUGGUGACGGUACCUGCAGAAGAAGCUCCGGCUAAAUACGAGCCAGCAGCCGCGGUAAUACGUAUGGAGCAAGCGUUAUCCGGAUUCAUUGGGCGUAAAGCGCUCGUAGGCGGUCUGUUAGGUCGGCAAGUUAAAUCCGGGGGCUCAACCCCCGUCCGCUUCCGAUACCGGCAGACUUGAGUUUGGUAGGGGAAGGUGGAAUUCCUAGUGUAGCGGUGGAAUGCGCAGAUAUUAGGAAGAACACCGGUGGCGAAGGCGGCCUUCUGGGCCAUAACUGACGCUGAGGAGCGAAAGCUAGGGGAGCGAACAGG
This 411-nucleotide ribosomal RNA is filed under the name Verrucomicrobiota bacterium. Its description in RNAcentral is "Verrucomicrobia bacterium partial 16S ribosomal RNA". It matches the Rfam family "Bacterial small subunit ribosomal RNA", at positions 355 to 776 of the family's 1533-position model. Lineage: Bacteria; Pseudomonadati; Verrucomicrobiota. The record is from RNAcentral.